This 1456-nucleotide ribosomal RNA is filed under the name uncultured organism. RNAcentral's name for it is "SSU rRNA". It matches the Rfam family "Bacterial small subunit ribosomal RNA". The record is from RNAcentral.
AACGCUGGCGGCAGGCCUAACACAUGCAAGUCGAGCGGUAGCACAGAGAGCUUGCUCUCGGGUGACGAGCGGCGGACGGGUGAGUAAUGUCUGGGAAACUGCCUGAUGGAGGGGGAUAACUACUGGAAACGGUAGCUAAUACCGCAUAAUGUCGCAAGACCAAAGUGGGGGACCUUCGGGCCUCAUGCCAUCAGAUGUGCCCAGAUGGGAUUAGCUAGUAGGUGGGGUAACGGCUCACCUAGGCGACGAUCCCCAGCUGGUCUGAGAGGAUGACCAGCCACACUGGAACUGAGACACGGUCCAGACUCCUACGGGAGGCAGCAGUGGGGAAUAUUGCACAAUGGGCGCAAGCCUGAUGCAGCCAUGCCGCGUGUGUGAAGAAGGCCUUCGGGUUGUAAAGCACUUUCAGCGGGGAGGAAGGCGGUGAGGUUAAUAACCUCAUCGAUUGACGUUACCCGCAGAAGAAGCACCGGCUAACUCCGUGCCAGCAGCCGCGGUAAUACGGAGGGUGCAAGCGUUAAUCGGAAUUACUGGGCGUAAAGCGCACGCAGGCGGUCUGUCAAGUCGGAUGUGAAAUCCCCGGGCUUAACUUGGGAACUGCAUUCGAAACUGGCAGGCUAGAGUCUUGUAGAGGGGGGUAGAAUUCCAGGUGUAGCGGUGAAAUGCGUAGAGAUCUGGAGGAAUACCGGUGGCGAAGGCGGCCCCCUGGACAAAGACUGACGCUCAGGUGCGAAAGCGUGGGGAGCAAACAGGAUUAGAUACCCUGGUAGUCCACGCCGUAAACGAUGUCGAUUUGGAGGUUGUGCCCUUGAGGCGUGGCUUCCGGAGCUAACGCGUUAAAUCGACCGCCUGGGGAGUACGGCCGCAAGGUUAAAACUCAAAUGAAUUGACGGGGGCCCGCACAAGCGGUGGAGCAUGUGGUUUAAUUCGAUGCAACGCGAAGAACCUUACCUGGUCUUGACAUCCACAGAACUUUCCAGAGAUGGAUUGGUGCCUUCGGGAACUGUGAGACAGGUGCUGCAUGGCUGUCGUCAGCUCGUGUUGUGAAAUGUUGGGUUAAGUCCCGCAACGAGCGCAACCCUUAUCCUUUGUUGCCAGCGGUCCGGCCGGGAACUCAAAGGAGACUGCCAGUGAUAAACUGGAGGAAGGUGGGGAUGACGUCAAGUCAUCAUGGCCCUUACGACCAGGGCUACACACGUGCUACAAUGGCAUAUACAAAGAGAAGCGACCUCGCGAGAGCAAGCGGACCUCAUAAAGUAUGUCGUAGUCCGGAUUGGAGUCUGCAACUCGACUCCAUGAAGUCGGAAUCGCUAGUAAUCGUAGAUCAGAAUGCUACGGUGAAUACGUUCCCGGGCCUUGUACACACCGCCCGUCACACCAUGGGAGUGGGUUGCAAAAGAAGUAGGUAGCUUAACCUUCGGGAGGGCGCUUACCACUUUGUGAUUCAUGACUGGGG